AUUCAGCUGAUGAGUCCCAAAUAGGAUGAAACGCACGUCCUGGGU
This 45-nucleotide non-coding RNA is filed under the name Schistosoma mattheei. The record is from RNAcentral. Lineage: Eukaryota; Metazoa; Platyhelminthes; Trematoda; Strigeidida; Schistosomatidae.